GCGCACCAGGCGCGAAUCUUCCACAAUGGACGAAAGUCUGAUGGAGCGACGCCGCGUGCGGGAUGAAGGCCUUAUGGGUUGUAAACCGCUGUCAGGGGGGAAGAACAUCGGAAUGAACAAUACUCAUUCCGACUGACGGUUACCCCCAGAGGAAGCUCCGGCCAACUCCGUGCCAGCAGCCGCGGGUAAUACGGGGGGAGCAAGCGUUGUCCGGAAUUAUUGGGCGUAAAGGGCGUGUAGGCGGCGAGGUAAGUCGAAUGGUGAAAUCUCACGGCUCAACCGUGAAACUGCGUUCGAAACUACCCUGCUUGAGUACGGGGGAGGUGUACGGAAUUCCGUGGUGUAGCGGUGGAAUGCGUAGAUAUCAGGAAGAACGACCGGUGGC
RNAcentral lists this ribosomal RNA (385 nucleotides) under uncultured microorganism. RNAcentral's name for it is "bacterial SSU rRNA". It matches the Rfam family "Bacterial small subunit ribosomal RNA", at positions 346 to 716 of the family's 1533-position model. The record is from RNAcentral.